This 2263-nucleotide long non-coding RNA is filed under the name Cyanistes caeruleus (blue tit). Its description in RNAcentral is "lncRNA (ENSCCEG00000012977.1)". The record is from RNAcentral. Lineage: Eukaryota; Metazoa; Chordata; Aves; Passeriformes; Paridae.
UCUGGAUUUUGCGAAAGCCUUGCUUCCAGCCUUAGCACUUCAUGGUUAAAAAUACCACCCAUGAUUUAUUUAUCCUGUUUAGGAUGCGAUGUGUACCUUUCUGUUUGCCGGCAGGUGGCAGUGGUGUAGGAGUGUUAAGGAUGACCAGCAAAAACCCAAGGGCUUUGCUGCGGCUGUUUCCAGGCUGCUGUGUGCUCAGUCUCUUCCAGCUGCGAGGGGAUUAUGAGCAUAUUUCUCCUUGGUCUGCACAAGUUGAUUCAUCUCAUCAGCACUUUCUGAUCAAUUGAUACAUUUUUGAAAGCGUGUUUUUGGCAAUUGCUUUCUAGUGUGUGAAAUGAUAUCAUCUUGGGUAUUGAUGGAAAUGGAUGCUAAUGAAAUAAACAGAAGCACUUUUUACAUGGCCUUUCCCUAGAGACACAGGAGCAUUGGGCAUCUUCAAGCAUUUUUUCCUCUUACAAAUGUCCAGGUGAACAUUUUCUGAUCUGUAUACUUGUCUUUAAAAAAAAAAAAAUCUGUUUGCAUCACAAUGCAGGAUUUGAAAUCGACUUGUUUUGGUAACUUUUAAUUUCUAAGCAAGUGUCGCUCUGCAUUUAUCAGCAGUGGCUUUAUUGGAGGGAGAUCUAACGAGCUGUUAACCCCUUGCUUGCAAGAGUGGAUAUGGGUCUUUCUUCCAUCUGCAGUCCUGACUCCAGAGCCUUCUCCUGCUCAGGUCAGGGCUGGAGGGGUUUGCACAGUGUGCUCUGCUGAUGAGCCAAUGCACAGAUGCAGAGAUACUGCGCUCCACUCUGAGACAGCACAGACUUCAUGAGAUUAUCCUUGAAUAUAUAAGCAAUCAGGAUCCUGAUUGUGGAAACCCCAGAUGUAUGAAUGAGGACAGUCACCUUGAGAAGUAUCCCUGAAGUCUGGCAAGGAGAAGCUGCACAAUCUGUGCUGUACCACAGCGGCUGAAGGUUUUGGCUGCCAUCCUCUGCAGGGAAACGAAGGCACAGAGAUGCUGAAGGACACAUCCCAGUUUUAUAAUUUCCUACGUGCUGGAAGUAGGACAGAUGAAUGCUAUGAAAUGCUUAGCAUCACUUUCCCUGGAAGAGAAAGUGAAAUUCAGGAAGGUGGAUCAGGAAAACAGCAUUCUCCUGCCACAGGGAAACAUGGAAAAGUGCAGAAAGGGACAAGCAGGAGAUUUCCUUGGCCUUUUGGAACAUUCCCAGCUACUGAGGGCACUGUCAUACUAUGUGGCAUAUCUGGCACAAACAAAUAUUCUCAGUUUAUUCAGCAAAGAAGACAAUCACCUAUGGCAUCCUUCUGCUGCUCUGGAUGUACAGCUACCCAUGCUUCAGAAGAGAAAACUCCAGUAUUGCUACUCUCAUACAGGUUCAACAGAGGAAGAACAAACCCAUUGCAACAGCAAAAAGAAUCUCUUCAGCAGCUGAGAUCUCUUCACUUGUGGGUAGAAAGCACAGAGAAAUAAAUAUCGCAAGAAUGGCGCUAAGGAUAAGAUAGACCUAUUUAUAUUUAAUAGGACUUUGCAGACUUCUGUGGCCUGAUUGCAGUGACAUGGUGUGCAAAUGAUAUAAUUUCUUUGGAUUAAAAGGAGUUUCUCUUUUAUUUGGAGUUAGCCAGAAAAAGCUCUGAAAUCACCAGAUUGUACUGCUAUUUAUCGGGAAAAUUCUUAUUGGAAACAUCUGAGUUUAUCCCUUCAGGCAUAGUUAGGCCAUAUGUAGUCAUAGCAUUUCAAAUUUUGCUUGGAGCAUAAAUAUGAGGCUAGACAAUUGAAAAAGAGUCUUUAUACAUCCUUACAAUUUAUGUUUUAGCAUAUAAUGAGCAAGUGUUCCCAUGUAUGAAGAUUAGGUACUUAUUUCCUCUGAAAGCCAAUGGUCAUGGAUUUUCUCAUCAUAAACGGUGUACUUUCAUUUCCUCUCUUGCUCUUUGUAUGCACCUCUCCAUUGUUAAACAAUUAAGUAGCAGAAGCUGUUAAUAUUAUGUUAAAAAAUUCAUCCUAUUUCACGGGUUUUUUCCAGUCUUGUUACACUAUUUUCAUGUGAAAACAUGGGUGAAAACACUUAGCAAAACAAAAGAUGCAAAAUAUCAGAAGUAGGACAUUUGUAGAUAAGCUUCAAAACCUAUUGCCAUAGGAAUUAAAGAAUGAAAACCAUCAACACGUUGUAUCUUCUAAGAGUUUUUUCUUGUAUAUAUAUGAACAUUUGUUCUGCUUUAAAAGAUGUAUGUGUAUGAAGCGUUUCUCAAUAAAAAGCAUCAAAAUCAUGCA